This 222-nucleotide ribosomal RNA is filed under the name Acinetobacter baumannii. RNAcentral's name for it is "partial 16S ribosomal RNA". It matches the Rfam family "Bacterial small subunit ribosomal RNA", at positions 1 to 226 of the family's 1533-position model. Lineage: Bacteria; Pseudomonadati; Pseudomonadota; Gammaproteobacteria; Moraxellales; Moraxellaceae. The record is from RNAcentral.
AACUGAAGAGUUUGAUCAUGGCUCAGAUUGAACGCUGGCGGCAGGCUUAACACAUGCAAGUCGAGCGGGGGAAGGUAGCUUGCUACUGGACCUAGCGGCGGACGGGUGAGUAAUGCUUAGGAAUCUGCCUAUUAGUGGGGGACAACAUCUCGAAAGGGAUGCUAAUACCGCAUACGUCCUACGGGAGAAAGCAGGGGAUCUUCGGACCUUGCGCUAAUAGAU